Molecule: unclassified non-coding RNA, 336 nt
Filed under: soil metagenome
Description: partial contains 5.8S ribosomal RNA, internal transcribed spacer 2, and large subunit ribosomal RNA
Rfam family: 5.8S ribosomal RNA (bases 1-120)
Source: RNAcentral
GAUGAAGAACGCAGCGAAAUGCGAUAAGUAGUGUGAAUUGCAGAAUUCAGUGAAUCAUCGAAUCUUUGAACGCACAUUGCGCCCCUUGGUAUUCCAUGGGGCAUGCCUGUUCGAGCGUCAUUUGUACCCUCCAGCCCUGCUGGGUAUUGGGCGUUUUGUUCCGCUACGCGCGUGAACUCGCCUCAAAUGCAUUGGCAGCCCGCCGUCCCGUGUGGGAGCGCAGCACAUUUUGCGCUCUCCGCUGCUGACGGUGGCAUCCACAAGUCUACCAUUUUACGCUUGACCUCGGAUCAGGUAGGGAUACCCGCUGAACUUAAGCAUAUCAAUAGCGGAGGA